AUUGCCCCAGUAACGGCGAGUGAAGCGGCAACAGCUCAAAUUUGAAAUCUGGCUCUCAGGGCCCGAGUUGUAAUUUGUAGAGGAUGCUUUUGGCGAGGUGCCUUCCGAGUUCCCUGGAACGGGACGCCACAGAGGGUGAGAGCCCCGUAUGGUCGGACACCGAGCCUCUGUAAAGCUCCUUCGACGAGUCGAGUAGUUUGGGAAUGCUGCUCAAAAUGGGAGGUAUAUGUCUUCUAAAGCUAAAUAUUGGCCAGAGACCGAUAGCGCACAAGUAGAGUGAUCGAAAGAUGAAAAGCACUUUGAAAAGAGGGUUAAAAAGUACGUGAAAUUGUUGAAAGGGAAGCGCCUAUGACCAGACUUGCGCCCGGUGAAUCACCCAGCGUUCUCGCUGGUGCACUUUGCCGGGCACAGGCCAGCAUCAGUUCAGCGCGGGGGAGAAAGGCUUCGGGAAUGUGGCUCCCUCGGGAGUGUUAUAGCCCGCUGCGUAAUGCCCUGCGCCGGACUGAGGUACGCGCAUUGCAAGGAUGCUGGCGUAAUGGUCAUCAGCGACCCGUCUUGAAACACGGACCAAGGAGUCGUCUUCGUAUGCGAGUGUUCGGGUGUCAAACCCCUACGCGUAAUGAAAGUGAACGUAGGUGAGAGCUUCGGCGCAUCACCGACCGAUCCUGAUGUUCUCGGAUGGAUUUGAGUAAGAGCAUACGGGGCCGGACCCGAAAGAAGGUGAACUAUGCCUGUAUAGGGUGAAGCCAGAGGAAACUCUGGUGGAGGCUCGCAGCGGUUCUGACGUGCGAAUCGAUCGUCAAAUAUGGGCAUGGGGGCGAAAGACUAAUCGAACCUUCUAGUAGCUGGUUUC
RNAcentral lists this ribosomal RNA (853 nucleotides) under Beauveria bassiana. Its description in RNAcentral is "partial large subunit ribosomal RNA". It matches the Rfam family "Eukaryotic large subunit ribosomal RNA", at positions 74 to 958 of the family's 3401-position model. The record is from RNAcentral. Lineage: Eukaryota; Fungi; Ascomycota; Sordariomycetes; Hypocreales; Cordycipitaceae.